GUCCCUGUAGCGCAAUGGAUAGCGUGUUAUACUUCUAAUCUAAAGGUCGUGGGUUCGAAUCCCACCUGGGGGG
Molecule: transfer RNA, 73 nt
Filed under: Trichonephila inaurata madagascariensis
Lineage: Eukaryota; Metazoa; Arthropoda; Arachnida; Araneae; Nephilidae
Rfam family: tRNA
About the family: Transfer RNA (tRNA) molecules are approximately 80 nucleotides in length.
Source: Rfam by way of RNAcentral